Pseudophryne corroboree (corroboree frog) is the source of this 366-nucleotide long non-coding RNA. RefSeq lists it as uncharacterized. The record is from RefSeq and is a predicted model, not a curated record. The transcript has 2 exons. Lineage: Eukaryota; Metazoa; Chordata; Amphibia; Anura; Myobatrachidae.
ACUCCCGGAAAGGUAGGGGCUCCCCUGCAUCUCGCCUGCUUCCUAAUGAAGUGGGAAGGAUGGAAAUAAAAUCAAUGCAAUCGCGGCGAUGGUGUGUAGGGGGCGGGUUAAUGACAUGACAGUCCGGCACUGCCCCACGAAGUGGACUACUGCAUCUCCUCUCUGGGCUUCUCCCAGACAGGAGACAAAAUAAAUAUCAAAAGAAAAUUUAGACGGCCAGCCGCUGCAAAAAUCAAACUGUCCGAUCCAGGGGUUAGAUGUCCCUUGUUUAACCAGGCAACCCUACUGCUCUGGAAGGCGAAGGAACAUGCCCAGAGGGUAACGAACACACUCUCAAAUCUCAUUAAAGUUUCUGUACUAUAAGAA